GUCGCCUGGCCGAGGAUCUGCUGGGCCAGUUCGGGACUGGUCGCGGUGACCGUGACAUCGGCGCCGCGGUUCCACCGCGAGACGAGC
This 87-nucleotide transfer RNA is filed under the name Streptomyces gelaticus. RNAcentral describes it as "tRNA-Pro". The record is from RNAcentral. Lineage: Bacteria; Bacillati; Actinomycetota; Actinomycetes; Kitasatosporales; Streptomycetaceae.